This is a non-coding RNA of Mycena vulgaris, 89 nucleotides long. The record is from the annotation of a GenBank genome assembly. Lineage: Eukaryota; Fungi; Basidiomycota; Agaricomycetes; Agaricales; Mycenaceae.
GACCCAGUGGCGGAUAGUUCGCGCCCGCACCGCGUAUGCACGUCCAGUCGCAUCAGCGGGAGGCCCUGGUUCGACUCCAGGCUGGGUCA